UACUAGAGUAGCACUCGCAUAUCAAUAAGCGGAGGAAAAGAAACUAACAAGGAUUCCCCUAGUAACGGCGAGUGAAGCGGGAAGAGCUCAAAUUUGAAAUCUUAAAGGGUUUCCCUUUACGAAUUGUAGUUUAAAGAAGUGUUUUCUGUUGAGGUUUUGGUAAAAGUUCUUUGGAAUAGGACAUCAUAGAGGGUGAGAAUCCCGUAUUUGACCUUUACUUUCAACUUUGUGAUACACUUUCGAAGAGUCGGAUUGUUUGGGAAUGCAGUCCAAAAUGGGUGGUAAGUUUCAUCUAAAGCUAAAUAUUGGCGAGAGACCGAUAGCGAACAAGUACCGUGAGGGAAAGAUGAAAAGAACUUUGAAAAGAGAGUUAAACAGUACGUGAAAUUGUCAAAAGGGAAGCGUUUGACACCAGUGUUGUUUUUCUGAAAAUCAAUUAAAGAACUGUUUAUGCUAAGCUUGUUUAGACUUUAUCAGCUAACUGUUUAGUUUUGAGCUUUUCUUUAAUGCACUUUUCAGUUAACAAGUCAACAUCAAUUUCUUUUGCUGUAAAAAAGCUUGAGGAAGGUGGCUUGAGAUUCGUCUUAAGUGUUUAUAGCCUCUUGCCUAUGCAGUCGGAGAGAUUGAGGUCUGCAGCGUAGAUCCUUCGGGGCUAAAUGCAUUUGUGCUAAGUUAUAGCGUUUUAUAGACAACUUGUUGACUAUGAUUUGUCUUGUGGCUUACUCGCUUAUGUUAUUUUACCUACGCUUAGGAUGUUGAACUCUAUCACACACAG
RNAcentral lists this ribosomal RNA (775 nucleotides) under uncultured Neocallimastigales. RNAcentral describes it as "partial large subunit ribosomal RNA". It matches the Rfam family "Eukaryotic large subunit ribosomal RNA", at positions 20 to 628 of the family's 3401-position model. The record is from RNAcentral. Lineage: Eukaryota; Fungi; Neocallimastigomycota; Neocallimastigomycetes; Neocallimastigales.